RNAcentral lists this long non-coding RNA (731 nucleotides) under Nicotiana benthamiana. Its description in RNAcentral is "long non-coding RNA (NBEN_LNC028081)". Lineage: Eukaryota; Viridiplantae; Streptophyta; Magnoliopsida; Solanales; Solanaceae. The record is from RNAcentral.
UAUUGAGUCACUAAGCAGUUAUCUUAGUUACGCCCAAAACAUAUUGAUUCCAACAGCAAUGAAAGAAAAACAAACUCAAAAAACCUAUGACAACAGAUUCUGGUACUAUGGGUUAAAUAAAAAUUAAGGAACUUAAGGACAGUCAGGGGAAGCUUAAUGUCCUGGAAGUGCCAGAAAUACCUCUCAAGCCGCUGUCUGACAAUCUCAGAUUCUCGAUGAAGCUACUCAUUUCUGAGAACAUUCCAAAACCAAACUCCAUAGUUCAUUGAUGCUGUAGUGAAACGUAAGUGCAAUUCAGCUUAGUUAGUUUUCUUUUCGUCUUCUUUAAGUGCUAAAGUUUCUGAACUACUAGAAGCUUGAUCCGUAUCCUCCCCAGCAAAACCAAACUCAUUCACUCGUUUCUUAUCCACUGGAUAAACCCAUCUCUGAUAUAGGUAUAUUAAAAAUAUAAGAUCUGCAUGGCAAAGACAGAUGAAACAUUAGAAAACGAAAGCGAAAUUCAGCUUAGUUAGUUUUCUUUUCGUCUUCUUUCAGUGCUAAAGUUUCUGAACUACUAGAAGUUUGAUCCGUAUCCUCCCCAGCGAAACCAAACUCAUUGACUCGUUUCUUAUCCACUGGAUAAACCCAUCUCUGAUAUAGGUAUAUUAAAAAUAUAAGAUCUGCAUGGCAAAGACAGAUGAAACAUUAGUAACCCAAUUGGAUGAAAGCUAAUGCAUAUAAUAGAACCACAC